UACGGAGGGGGCAAGCGUUGUCCGGAAUCAUUGGGCGUAAAGAGCGUGUAGGCGGUCCGGUCAGUCGGUUGUGAAAGUCAAGGGCUCAACCCUUGAAUGCCGGCCGAUACUGCCGGGCUAGAGUCCGGAAGAGGUGAGUGGAAUUCCUGGUGUAGCGGUGAAAUGCGCAGAUAUCAGGAGGAACACCGAUGGCGAAGGCAGCUCACUGGGACGGUACUGACGCUGAGACGCGAAAGCGUGGGGAGCAAACAGG
Molecule: ribosomal RNA, 253 nt
Filed under: uncultured bacterium
Lineage: Bacteria
Description: partial 16S ribosomal RNA
Rfam family: Bacterial small subunit ribosomal RNA
Source: RNAcentral